RNAcentral lists this ribosomal RNA (396 nucleotides) under uncultured bacterium. Its description in RNAcentral is "partial 16S ribosomal RNA". It matches the Rfam family "Bacterial small subunit ribosomal RNA", at positions 523 to 918 of the family's 1533-position model. The record is from RNAcentral.
AUACGUAGGGGGCAAGCGUUAUCCGGAUUUACUGGGUGUAAAGGGAGCGUAGACGGAAUGGCAAGUCUGAUGUGAAAGGCCGGGGCUCAACCCCGGGACUGCAUUGGAAACUGUCAGGCUAGAGUGCAGGAGGGGUAAGCGGAAUUCCUAGUGUAGCGGUGAAAUGCGUAGAUAUUAGGAGGAACACCGGUGGCGAAGGCGGCCUGCUGGACGACAACUGACGCUGAGGCGCGAAAGCGUGGGGAGCAAACAGGAUUAGAUACCCUGGUAGUCCACGCUGUAAACGAUGAAUACUAGGUGUGGGGGGACUGACCCCCUCCGUGCCGCAGUUAACACAAUAAGUAUUCCACCUGGGGAGUACGAUCGCAAGAUUGAAACUCAAAUGAAUUGGCGGGG